This 253-nucleotide ribosomal RNA is filed under the name uncultured bacterium. RNAcentral describes it as "partial 16S ribosomal RNA". It matches the Rfam family "Bacterial small subunit ribosomal RNA", at positions 524 to 776 of the family's 1533-position model. The record is from RNAcentral.
GACAGAGGGGGCAAGCGUUGUCCGGACUGACUGGGCGUAAAGCGCGCGCAGGCGGAUGCGGGCGUCGGUGCGGAAAGGGCGCCGCUUAACGGCGGAGAGCGUACCGAUACGCCGCGUCUGGAGCGCGGGCGAGGGUGGUGGAAUUGCCGGUGUAGUGGUGAAAUGCGUAGAGAUCGGCAGGAACACCCGUGGCGCAAGCGGCCACCUAGCCCGUUGCUGACGCUGAGGCGCGACAGCGUGGGGAGCGAACUGG